Molecule: ribosomal RNA, 253 nt
Filed under: uncultured bacterium
Lineage: Bacteria
Description: partial 16S ribosomal RNA
Rfam family: Bacterial small subunit ribosomal RNA
Source: RNAcentral
GACGGAGGGUGCAAGCGUUGCUCGGAAUUACUGGGCGUAAAGCGCACGUAGGCGGCUUUGUAAGUUAGAGGUGAAAGCCCGGGGCUCAACUCCGGAAUUGCCUUUAAGACUGCAUCGCUUGAAUCAUGGAGAGGUGAGUGGAAUUCCGAGUGUAGAGGUGAAAUUCGUAGAUAUUCGGAAGAACACCAGUGGCGAAGGCGACUCACUGGACAUGUAUUGACGCUGAGGUACGAAAGCGUGGGGAGCAAACAGG